GUGAGGAAUAUUGCGCAAUGGGCGAAAGCCUGACGCAGCGACGCCGCGUGAAGGAUGAAGGCUUUAGAGUCGUAAACUUCUGUUAAGUGGGAAGAAAAGUUAAAUUAUAAUACAGUUUAAUCAUGACGGUACCAUUAGAGAAAGCACCGGCUAACUUCGUGCCAGCAGCCGCGGUAAUACGAGGGGUGCAAGCGUUAUUCGGAAUCAUUGGGCGUAAAGGGUGCGUAGACGGCAUAUUAAGUCAUUUGUUUAAUUUCCUCGGCUUAACUGAGGUUCUGCAGGUGAUACUGAUAAGCUAGAGGGUGGAAGAGAGAAGUGGAAUUCUCGGAGUAGCGGUAAAAUGCGUAGAUCUCGAGAGGAACACCGAUGGCGAAGGCAGCUUCUUGGUCCAUACCUGACGUUGAGGCACGAAAGCGUGGGGAGCAAACAGGAUUAGAAACCCUAGUAGUCC
Molecule: ribosomal RNA, 451 nt
Filed under: uncultured bacterium
Lineage: Bacteria
Description: bacterial SSU rRNA
Rfam family: Bacterial small subunit ribosomal RNA
Source: RNAcentral